Molecule: transfer RNA, 71 nt
Filed under: Solirubrobacteraceae bacterium
Lineage: Bacteria; Bacillati; Actinomycetota; Thermoleophilia; Solirubrobacterales; Solirubrobacteraceae
Also listed under: 2 other names
Description: tRNA-Gln
Rfam family: tRNA
About the family: Transfer RNA (tRNA) molecules are approximately 80 nucleotides in length. Their secondary structure includes four short double-helical elements and three loops (D, anti-codon, and T loops). Further hydrogen bonds mediate the characteristic L-shaped molecular structure. tRNAs have two regions of fundamental functional importance: the anti-codon, which is responsible for specific mRNA codon recognition, and the 3' end, to which the tRNAs corresponding amino acid is attached (by aminoacyl-tRNA synthetases). tRNAs cope with the degeneracy of the genetic code in two manners: having more than one tRNA (with a specific anti-codon) for a particular amino acid; and 'wobble' base-pairing, i.e. permitting non-standard base-pairing at the 3rd anti-codon position.
Source: RNAcentral
UGCGGGAUGGUGUAACGGCAGCACGCCUCGCUCUGGACGAGGUAGUUGGGGUUCGAAUCCCUGUCCCGCAG